CAUUAGCAGCAACAAAGCAGCAAGGCAAGGCGGUAAUCUCCUUCACAGGGAGCUUUCCUGUGGUGUUGCAGGCUGAAGUGCUCCUCACAGCGUGUGCAUGCUGCGGAAAUGCCACCAUUUCACCUAGGCCUAGCAGCCCUGCCCUGCUCAGUGCUUUCUGGAAGCUUCCACUGCAGAACACAGAUAACAAGAUGGCAGAACACAUCCCCCCUUACAGGGUAAGGAGAGUCAAGACAUUUUCCUCAGACUUUGUUAAGCUCUUUUGAACAGUGGAAAAGGAGGGAAAUAGUUUUACCUCACCCUUACCAGGUGAGGCAGAUAAUAACACAGAGCAGCCGUACAACAUAUGGCCUAAGUAUCUCCUGCUGUGCCUCACUGGUAUUGAGAUAACAGAAUGCUAGUGGUGUUUUGUUGAAGAAAACUUCUGUGGUUUUUUUGUUUGUUUGUUUUUGUUUUUGGUUUUGGUUUUUUUUUCAUAAGAAAAACUGCUUCAAGUUGUGACUUUACUGAGAAGUUAUUCCUCAGUGCUGCAAGCAAAUGUAAUGGAGAGGUUUGUGUAAAAUAACAUGGAAGUUUACUGUCUGCCAGAGCUUGAAGCCUCAAAGAUUGAAUCAUGGAGCCCUGAGAUUCCCAAGGUUACUGCACAAGCUCUCGUGGUUACUGUGACUGUGGCAAAGGGCUGGAAAUAAAACUGAAGCUGUGGAAACCCCAUUCUUGGAAGACAUUGAAGGCGACCCUGAUUUGAGCAUCGCUAGCUGGUUUCAGCGGGAAGGUUGCACUAGAACUCUCCAGAGAUCCUUUCCAAUAUGUUCUGUGAUUCUGUCAAAACUUCAGCAAAACAGAUUCCAAUGCAAAAGAGAAGCUGUUGAAUUAAAAGACAUCCAAUGUCCUCUUACUGAGGUGUCACACUUUGCUAAGGCCAUAACUGUACAGAAAUAUUAGAAAUUCAAAUCUGUGUGUGCAAAGCUAGAGUGAGAAAACUUUUUUGCAAAUAAUUCACCUGCUUAAAUGUAAGAAAGCAGCAGUAUCCAAAAACUGAGAAAGAACAUGAAAAGAAUGAACUAAGAAACCUGUUCAUAUAAAGGAAGAAAAAUGAAAAACAAUUCAGAAGAUUUUGUGAAGGAGAAAAAAAAAAAAAAGAACUUAAAAGAGGCACUAUUUAGCUUGUUAGGAUGCUUAUAGUUACAGUUCUAUCUCUACCCAUUUCUUCUCACAGAACUCAGAAACAUCUGAACUAUUAUUUAAUGUAUUGCUCAGUUAAAAAACAACAACAACAAAAAACACCAACAAAAGGCCUUAAAGUACCUGUGUUUUUAUUAUCAAAUCAAAGGACCUGAGUCUACACUGAGUAACUGGUUUUCUGUCUUAUCUGUUCAUAAGAAUGAAUUUGAAAAUUGUAUGAGUGUUAAGGAUGCUUCAGUAAACCUUGGUUUUUAAAAAUAAUGGAAUUACAUUUGAUGGUGGUGUGGCUCUGUUUUUGUUGUUGUUUGUUUGUUUUGUAUUUUUUUAACCAUGCUUUGUUUCUGAUGAUUUAGCAAAUUCUGUUAAACUGCUACAUCUGCAAAUGUAAUGACUUGAAACAAUAUAAAGACUUUUCUUUCUGUGUUUUUCACAGCUCACAGGUAGAAAAGCUUUGUUUGUUUUGUUUUCCUUCUUUGUUUUGAAGAUGACACUACAAAUAACAUGACAAAGCAAUACAAUUCCAGGUAGUAUAAUGUUGUCUAAUUUAAGUUCACCACACCUAUGCUUAUUUGGGCAUGCAUGUCUAGCUGUAUUAAUUUUUAUUCAUAAAUUGCCACAAUUCAUCCACAACAUGCAGAUACUUCAGGAUUUAGGAAUGGGUUGCAAGUGUUUAACAUAGAGAAAAGAGUUUGCAAACCUGAAUCUGAGAAGUCGUUUGCAGUUUUCUGAACA
This is a long non-coding RNA of Cygnus olor (mute swan), 1914 nucleotides long. RefSeq lists it as uncharacterized. The record is from RefSeq and is a predicted model, not a curated record. The transcript is spliced from 3 exons. NCBI's taxonomy places the organism in Eukaryota, Metazoa, Chordata, Aves, Anseriformes, Anatidae.